This is a long non-coding RNA of Delphinapterus leucas (beluga whale), 1126 nucleotides long. RefSeq lists it as uncharacterized. The record is from RefSeq and is a predicted model, not a curated record. NCBI's taxonomy places the organism in Eukaryota, Metazoa, Chordata, Mammalia, Artiodactyla, Monodontidae.
AGGAUGAGCGAUGGUGACGGGCUGCCUUCGGUGCUGGUGCAGCUCCGAUGACCUUGAGCAGGAAGAUGUGGCGAUGCAGCUCUGAGCUCUCUGCUGCUGCUCUGUGGGCUCUCCCCACCCACCUCCUGCACCCAGGGCCUUGUAAAGUCUGGUUUCCGGGGCUUGGGAAAUUUGCUCUGCCCGGUGCCUCUGGAUGUCUGUGUCUGGGGCUCAGGCCGGAAGUCCCUCUUCUAGUGGGGCAGUCAAGCCUCUUCUGGGGCAGGGAGGGCCUUGAUGGUGAAGAAAGUCCUGGAAGCCCCUUCGGGAGGGCCCGCCGGUUCUUCAGAGUGUCGUCAGGUUCAUCAUGUUUAUUCAGCUACGCUCGCUUUUCCUUCUGCCUGUGACUCCCCCUCUGUCACAGGGGGACGCCUCCACAGUGGGUCCUCGAAGGGAACCCAUCCUCAGGGACACCCGAGGGCCCAGCCUGCCAGAAUCCGGCUUGGCAAAGUUUCCACUUUUUGGUGCCUGCUUUUGUGGCUGACCCCUAAUGAGGAAAAUCUGGACACAGAGACAGCCAUACAGGAAAGAAGGCCCUGUGAUGACGAAGGCAAAGACUGGAGAGACACAGUCACAUGCUGAGCAACGCCACGGAUCGCCAGCAAUGCCCAGAAGCCGGAAGAGGCACGGAAGGAUUCUUCCCAGGCACUUUGGAGGGAGCAUGGUGGUACUGCCAACACUUGAUUUCAGACUCACAGCCUCCAGAACUGCGAGAGGGUCCCGUGCUGGUGUUUUAAGCCCCCGGUUUACAGUCGUUCGUUACAGCAGCCACGGGAGACCGAUACGGCCACAUUCUGAGAACGGACUGUUAAACGAUUGAUUAAUAAUUAAGAGAAAUGACCUUCCUUCGCGUAUUGGUGAGCAUUUUGAUAUUCAUAACAUUUCUUUCUUGCAGUUAGCAUCCUGGGUGAACCCUUCUGAGGCCAUAAGGUAAAAACGUAAGAUUCUGACCCAAACCGUGGAGUCUUCAUAAUAUUAAGUGUAUUUUAUCUUAAAAAAAUUAGAAAACUACCAACCUUUGCAUGAAAAAUAGAUUUUUGUUGAUGUAUAGUUUUGUUUCCAAUAAAUUUGACGAAAUCAGGCAGUGGGA